UGGCGACGGGUGAGUAACGCGUGGGUAACCUGCCUCAUACAGGGGGAUAACAGUUAGAAAUGACUGCUAAUACCGCAUAAGACCACGGCACCGCAUGGUGCAGGGGUAAAAACUCCGGUGGUAUGAGAUGGACCCGCGUCUGAUUAGGUAGUUGGUGGGGUAACGGCCUACCAAGCCGACGAUCAGUAGCCGACCUGAGAGGGUGACCGGCCACAUUGGGACUGAGACACGGCCCAA
Molecule: ribosomal RNA, 237 nt
Filed under: uncultured bacterium
Lineage: Bacteria
Description: partial 16S ribosomal RNA
Rfam family: Bacterial small subunit ribosomal RNA
Source: RNAcentral